UGAAGGUUGAGUAACAUCAACUGGAGGACCGAACCGACUAAUGUUGAAAAAUUAGCGGAUGACUUGUGGCUAGGGGUGAAAGGCCAAUCAAACUCGGAGAUAGCUGGUUCUCCCCGAAAGCUAUUUAGGUAGCGCCUCGGACGAAUACUACUGGGGGUAGAGCACUGUUAAGGCUAGGGGGUCAUCCCGACUUACCAACCCUUUGCAAACUCCGAAUACCAGUAAGUACUAUCCGGGAGACACACGGCGGGUGCUAACGUCCGUCGUGGAGAGGGAAACAACCCAGACCGCCAGCUAAGGUCCCAAAGUAUUGCUAAGUGGGAAACGAUGUGGGAAGGCUCAGACAGCUAGGAUGUUGGCUUAGAAGCAGCCAUCAUUUAAAGAAAGCGUAAUAGCUCACUAGUCGAGUCGGCCUGCGCGGAAGAUGUAACGGGGCUAAGCA
RNAcentral lists this ribosomal RNA (442 nucleotides) under Vibrio cholerae. Its description in RNAcentral is "partial 23S ribosomal RNA". It matches the Rfam family "Bacterial large subunit ribosomal RNA", at positions 746 to 1188 of the family's 2925-position model. The record is from RNAcentral. Lineage: Bacteria; Pseudomonadati; Pseudomonadota; Gammaproteobacteria; Vibrionales; Vibrionaceae.